RNAcentral lists this unclassified non-coding RNA (314 nucleotides) under plant metagenome. Its description in RNAcentral is "partial contains 5.8S ribosomal RNA, internal transcribed spacer 2, and large subunit ribosomal RNA". The stretch from base 1 to 105 matches the Rfam family "5.8S ribosomal RNA", at positions 50 to 154 of the family's 154-position model. The record is from RNAcentral.
GAAAUGCGAUAAUUAAUGUGAAUUGCAGAAUUCAGUGAAUCAUCGAGUCUUUGAACGCACAUUGCGCCCCCUGGUAUUCCGGGGGGCAUGCCUGUCCGAGCGUCAUUGCUGCCCUCAAGCACGGCUUGUGUGUUGGGCUUCCGUCCCUGGCAACGGGGACGGGCCCAAAAGGCAGUGGCGGCACCAUGUCUGUUCCUCGAGCGUAUGGGGCUUUGUCACCCGCUCCCGUAGGUCCAGCUGGCAGCUAGCCUCGCAACCAAUCUUUUUAACCAGGUUGACCUCGGAUCAGGUAGGGAUACCCGCUGAACUUAAGC